AUGUUGUUUCAACAUUGGGAAACCUGUAUGGUGAUGGAGUUACAUUUACCCUAGUUGAUCUACAACCAUCCAUGGCCUAGUUUUUAAGAAACCUAUUCCCAUGGAAUAGCAAAUUAUAACCAACUCGAUGAAAGAGCUGCUAAAAUGGGAGAACAUAUGAAGAAAAAAAACUAGAGAAGUUGGUGGACAAAGGAAUAGCUAUGUGGCUAACAACACUUCUUUACUUGUGAACAAAACUAAUGAUUUUUUCAAUAUUUCUGGUACUCCAAGCAAUGUUAACUAUGCUCCAACCACCUACACUGUUGACAACACUUCAAGCACUUAGUCUGUGGACAAUGCUCCAAGCACCUACACUGUUGACAAUACUUUGAGCACCUACACUGUGAACAAUACUUUGAAUGCUUACACUGUGGACAAUACUCCAGGUACCUACACUGCGAGCAAUGUAAACAUUUACACUGACAAUACUCCCAGUACUUACACUGCUCACAGCCCUCCAAGCACUAACAUUGCUGACAAAGCUCCCAGCAGUUCUUCCAUUGACCAUGUCCCUAGCAUUUCCAUCUCAGACACUACUCUGAGCCCUGCUACCUCUGAUGGCAUUCUGAACCCUUCUAGCACUAAUCAUACUCCCAAGACUGCCACCUCUGACAGAACUCCCAGAUCAUCUGAUAGUACUCGCAGACCAUCAAGUUUUGACAGUACGCCAAGCUCUUCCGCUUCUCACAGUGCUCCCAACACUUCCAUCUCUGAAAAUGCUCCCAACACUUCUGACAUUGGUAAUGCUCUCAGUACUCCAACACUGCCAGUACUGAGAUUGAGACUAGACAUAGAAAGAAACAGAGUGCUAUAGGAGGUGAAGAAAUCAAGCAGAAACCAAGUGGAAAACAAAACAAGUGACCAUCACCAAAUAAUGCAGAUAAAGUGCCCAGAGUUGCACUCCACACCAUGCUGCCACUGGAGGUAAGAGAGGGGUGUCAUCAGUGACUUCAGACUGUUUUUUCUAUCUCCUCAGUGUCUCUUUGAGUGAUAUGAAGUUAAAAUCAGGUUCUAUGAAUGUGCACCUAAUUUUUUGUUCUUAUAAAGAUUUUUUUUUUCUCUGUAGAUCGUUGUUAACUUGGUGUACUUGUAGAGGGGGAUGAUUGGUGGAGCCUUGUAUUCUGCCAUCUUGCUCCAUUUCUCUAAAAACCAUGUUGUAAUGGUGUUUUACUCUGUAUUAUUGACAAUCAUCAGCAAUGUAAGUGUAGUUCAGGAAAAGGCUUGAAUAUGUGUCUUUAUAUUUGUCAGAGAACAAAUUUACUGGUGGCUGUCACUGAGAAUGCAGCCAUGGCUGGGAUCUUAUAUACCUGACAGUAUUAUUUUAUUUUCUGAAUUCAUGGUCAAUUUUCACAUAUCAGUUUGUUUCACUUCAUGAUAAGGUAAAUAUGCUCUUAAAGACAACUGUGUUUUAUGAAUCAUUGUGGUCACUUUUUAUAGACUCUAGACUGUAACUACUCUUAAAUAAUUGAUUUACUGUACACGUUGGGCUGUGCAUGUCUGGCUAUAGCAUAUUUUGCAUAUGAAGGCUAACAAAUUAAGUAAUAAAAUGACUGCUCAAAAAAACUACUGCUGGCUUAACUGAGG
Molecule: long non-coding RNA, 1623 nt
Filed under: Homo sapiens (human)
Lineage: Eukaryota; Metazoa; Chordata; Mammalia; Primates; Hominidae
Description: HSALNT0283926
Source: RNAcentral